UGCAAGUCGAACGAUGAAGCCCUUCGGGGUGGAUUAGUGGCGAACGGGUGAGUAACACGUGGGCAAUCUGCCCUGCACUCUGGGACAAGCCCUGGAAACGGGGUCUAAUACCGGAUAUGACAUCCUCCCGCAUGGGAAGGGUGUGGAAAGCUCCGGCGGUGCAGGAUGAGCCCGCGGCCUAUCAGCUUGUUGGUGGGGUGAUGGCCUACCAAGGCGACAACGGGUAGCCGGCCUGAGAGGGCGACCGGCCACACUGGGACUGAAACACGGCCCAAACUCCUACGGGAGGCAGCAGUGGGGAAUAUUGCACAAUGGGCGAAAGCCUGAUGCAGCGACCCCGCGUGAGGGAUGACGGCCUUCGGGUUGUAAACCUCUUUCAGCAGGGAAAAAGCGCAAGUGACGGUACCUGCAAAAAAAGCACCGGCUAACUACGUGCCAGCAGCCGCGGUAAUACGUAGGGUGCGAGCGUUGUCCGGAAUUAUUGGGCGUAAAGAGCUCGUAGGCGGCCUGUCACGUCGGAUGUGAAAGCCCGGGGCUUAACCCCGGGUCUGCAUUCGAUACGGGCAGGCUAGAGUUCGGUAGGGGAGAUCGGAAUUCCUGGUGUAGCGGUGAAAUGCGCAAAUAUCAGGAGGAACACCGGUGGCGAAGGCGGAUCUCUGGGCCGAUACUGAC
This 672-nucleotide ribosomal RNA is filed under the name Streptomyces sp. YIM 100598. RNAcentral describes it as "bacterial SSU rRNA". It matches the Rfam family "Bacterial small subunit ribosomal RNA", at positions 56 to 744 of the family's 1533-position model. The record is from RNAcentral. Lineage: Bacteria; Bacillati; Actinomycetota; Actinomycetes; Kitasatosporales; Streptomycetaceae.